Non-coding RNA from Lentinula aciculospora, 87 nucleotides. The record is from the annotation of a GenBank genome assembly. Lineage: Eukaryota; Fungi; Basidiomycota; Agaricomycetes; Agaricales; Omphalotaceae.
UGCCCCAUGGCUGAGUUGGUUACAGCGUCCGACUGUUAUUCUGUAUGUAAUAUCGGAAGGUCGAGAGUUCGAGCCUCUCUGGGGCAG